This 160-nucleotide non-coding RNA is filed under the name Alphaproteobacteria bacterium. RNAcentral describes it as "6S RNA". It matches the Rfam family "6S / SsrS RNA". From Rfam's summary of the family: E. coli 6S RNA was the first non coding RNA to be sequenced, but its function was unknown until recently. Lineage: Bacteria; Pseudomonadati; Pseudomonadota; Alphaproteobacteria. The record is from RNAcentral.
CGGUCUCUGGACGGUGCGUUAGGCACAUCUUGUCCCGGGGACCUUAAUCAUCGAAUAGGGAGCUGUCCCUGCUGAGAUCGAGGUCUCGGACACAUGGCGCCCACCUGCUUGAAGCAGGUCUCGGUGGACUCGUCUUGCCGACGGCUGUAUCGGGGCCGCC